AGACGUCUACAUUAGAUACCCCGGUAGUCCCAGCCGUAAACUAUGCGCGUUAGGUGUAUCGGUGACCACGAGUUACCGAGGUGCCGAAGGGAAACCGUGAAACGUGCCGCCUGGGAAGUACGGUCGCAAGGCUGAAACUUGAAGGAAUUGGCGGGGGAGCACCACAACAGGUGGAGCCUGCGGUUUAAUUGGACUCAACGCCGGGAAGCUCACCGGAUAGGACAGCAGAAUGAUUGCCGGGCUGAAGACCCUGCAUGACUAGCUG
RNAcentral lists this ribosomal RNA (265 nucleotides) under uncultured archaeon. Its description in RNAcentral is "partial 16S ribosomal RNA". It matches the Rfam family "Archaeal small subunit ribosomal RNA", at positions 717 to 982 of the family's 1478-position model. The record is from RNAcentral.